This 85-nucleotide transfer RNA is filed under the name Ceratobasidium sp. AG-Ba. RNAcentral describes it as "tRNA-His". It matches the Rfam family "tRNA". From Rfam's summary of the family: Transfer RNA (tRNA) molecules are approximately 80 nucleotides in length. Their secondary structure includes four short double-helical elements and three loops (D, anti-codon, and T loops). The record is from RNAcentral. Lineage: Eukaryota; Fungi; Basidiomycota; Agaricomycetes; Cantharellales; Ceratobasidiaceae.
GUUCCUAUGGUCUAGUGGUUAUGACGCUUCGUUGUGGUCUUAGGAUAACUCCGAAGCAGCCCGUGUUCGAUUCACGGUGGGGACA